Molecule: long non-coding RNA, 904 nt
Organism: Mauremys reevesii (Reeves's turtle)
Lineage: Eukaryota; Metazoa; Chordata; Testudines; Geoemydidae
Exons: 5
Source: RefSeq, a predicted model, not a curated record
UUAGUUCUUUUUCGUUUGUCAAAUAGAAGGUAUUUCUGUUACCUCCGCCUCCCCUUUUGUGCACUGGAUCUUUACAGACGUGGCAACUGACUGAACCACUUCCCAGUUAUACAGUAUUCAUGCUGUAAGUCUUUUGUGACAAACACAACACCAAGGGAUUCAGCAAUUCAAAUUAAAAGUAGUGUAAAAAGAGAGGCAGAAUAUGUAUCACCAAGAUUUCUUCAGAUUUUUCUAAAUGGUAUAGCAGCUGGCUAUAGAGCCACUCAGCUCAGCCCAGCCCUAUUGGAGCACACUGUAAUCUUCAGAGGCAGCGGCCUUUCCCUGCUCACCCUCUCCAUGUAUUCAUCAUCAUCAUUUUAGUUUAUUACAGGAAAACCAGACAACUGGCAACCCUAUUACCAUGCCAUGAGCACAACUGAUUGCUUGGGCUUUGAUGCAAUCAGAAGCAUAUUAAAUCUCACACUCUCUGCUCUCCUGAGUGAAAAAACCCUGCAGCUCAGCCUCACAUCCCUCACAGAUAUACAGCGAAGAGUAUUUAUAGCUCUAAAAAAAAUCUGAAUCAAGCUUUCAGACUCAUUUCAAAUUCACAAAAACAAGGACAUUGAGAGAGAGAACUCAACCCAUCCUCCUGUCAUUACAUAUUUCAGGGGUCACCACACUUUUGUAGAUUCAGAUGCUGUGACUUCUGUUUUUAGUUAUACUUCUGUACUGCCAAAAUGAAAUGAGUCCAACAGUUGUGUCAGUUCUAUCUGCCCUCAGCUCAAUUUUUUUAAAACAACCCUUGAAUAUUUUAAGGUUUUUUUUUGGUGUGUGUAAUCCUUAGAGAAAGCUGACGUGUCAUUCAAGCCUCCAUAUUUAAACCUGGUGAUUUGUUUUCUGACUGAAUAAACUGGAACUAGCUCUG